This 301-nucleotide ribosomal RNA is filed under the name uncultured bacterium. RNAcentral describes it as "partial 16S ribosomal RNA". It matches the Rfam family "Bacterial small subunit ribosomal RNA", at positions 509 to 807 of the family's 1533-position model. The record is from RNAcentral.
CAGUAGCCGCGGGAAUACGUAGGGUGCGAGCGUUAAUCGGAAUUACUGGGCGUAAAGCGUGCGCAGGCGGUUGUGUAAGACAGGUGUGAAAUCCCCGGGCUUAACCUGGGAACUGCGCUUGUGACUGCACAGCUAGAGUGCGGCAGAGGGGGAUGGAAUUCCGCGUGUAGCAGUGAAAUGCGUAGAUAUGCGGAGGAACACCUAUGGCGAAGGCAAUCCCCUGGGCCUGCACUGACGCUCAUGCACGAAAGCGUGGGGAGCAAACAGGAUUAGAUACCCCUGUAGUCCCUGUCUCUUAUAC